Amphiprion ocellaris (clown anemonefish) is the source of this 1268-nucleotide long non-coding RNA. Lineage: Eukaryota; Metazoa; Chordata; Actinopteri; Pomacentridae. The record is from Ensembl.
CGGAGCCGGUACGUCCAGGAUGCAGGGCGCUCACCCCGCAGCACCACCGAGACCCCACCCACACCACUACUCCCCAGGACAGCACCGGGCCCGGACAGAAGCCCCCAGCCAGCAGACACUAAUCUCCAGUGGCGGCACACAGGCAAGUACCAAGGCCUGUGCCCGGAUGAGCCAGAGCCACCCCCCCAGAGAGACCACCCGGCCCCCAUGCCAGUCCCCCAGGCAGCGGAGGGCCCCCAGCCCCCCCAGGGGAGGGAGAGGGACGAGGACGAGCGGCCAGGCAGGAGAGGAGGGAGGAGGAGGGAAGCAGAGCAGGAAGGGACAGGGGAGCGACCGGAGGGCCGACCCACCCCAAACCCCAGGGCCAGCCAGGGCGCCCCAGAAGAGACCAGCCGCCGCCACCCCCAAGGCCCCGGGAGAGCGCACAAACCCAGCAGACCCAGGGCUCGAAGGGAGAGACACCGGGGACACCCACCCCCAGGCAGAGGGGCCCGAGCCACGCCGGCCCCGCAGAGCCAGAGAGCGACCCCAAGAGCAAUAGGAAAAGGACACCAUUAGUGCAUGCACACAGCCUUGAAGUCCAUGGUGCCAUCCUACUUAAAAAGUUACUUCAUGGGUGAUCUGAACUACUGGGAGCAGGCUUGAUUGAACACAGUCUGACUGCUGCAGGAAGGAAGGACCUCCUUCAAACAUCGUGGGUGAAGCAGUCUGUCCCUGAAGGAGCUGCCGGUGAUGGUCCUGUUUCCUGCAGGGGGUGGGAGAUGUCCUCCAUGAUAGACAACAGCUUUGUCAUCAUCCUCCUGUCUACCACCAGCCCAGGACAGAGCUUGCUUUCUUAACCAGUUUCUUUAGUCUCUUCCUGUCUGCAGCCGUGAUGCUGCUGCUCCAGCAGACCAGUCCAUACAGGAUGGCUGAUACCACCACACAACCAUAAAAGGUCCUCAGAAUUGCUCCCUGCACCCCGAAGGACCUCAGUUUCCUGAGCAGUCGGAGUGUAAAGAAUUGAAGCUGUCAGAGGCUUUCUGUGGUGAAGAGGCUGCAGGACAUCAGCUGCUCCAACAGUUAACUCACCCGGUUACGUCUCCAUCCUGACGCUGCUCUGCUGGACCGGAGCUUCUGGACCAGCCGGGUGGACCUUCCUUCACAGAUCUUCCCGGUGGGAGUGAUUCUGAGUCGGCCUUGGUUGACUGCAAACUCCUUAAAAUGGACACAUGAGAGGAAAUCGUGGACAAAUCAAUACAACAGCUUGUUCGGUUUGUCCUGUUCUU